This 344-nucleotide ribosomal RNA is filed under the name uncultured marine eukaryote. RNAcentral's name for it is "SSU rRNA". It matches the Rfam family "Eukaryotic small subunit ribosomal RNA", at positions 614 to 959 of the family's 1831-position model. The record is from RNAcentral.
UGUGGUUAAAAAGCUCGUAGUUGGAUCUCAACAGCCUUGGAAGCGGUUAACUUUGUAGUUUUACUACUUUAUAGGCUGUGCUUUUGCUGGAGGUUUAGGGGUGCUCUUGAUCGAGUGUCUCUGGAUGCCAGCAGGUUUACUUUGAAAAAAUUAGAGUGCUCAAAGCAGGCUAAAAUGCCUGAAUAUUCGUGCAUGGAAUAAUAGAAUAGGAUGUCGAUCCUAUUUUGUUGGUUUUCGGGACUCGACAUAAUGAUAAAUAGGGACAGUCGGGGGCAUUUGUAUUCAAACGACAGAGGUGAAAUUCUUGAACCGUUUGAAGACAAACUACUGCGAAAGCAUUUGCC